CCCUUAGAUGUUCUGGGCUGCACGCGCGCGACAAUGACGUUUGCAACGAGAUACGAGACCGAAAGGAUAAGUUGAUCUAGCAAGCUGCGUCGUGAUAGGGACUGUCGAUUGCAAUUAUUCGACACGAACGAGGAAUUCCUUGUAAUCGCACAUCAUCAGUGUGCGCUGAAUACGUCCCUGCCCUUUGUACACACCGCCCGUCGCUCCUACCGAUCGAGUGAUCCGGUGAAUGUUUUGGAUCGGUUGCAAGUUGCGCGACGCGCUUCUUGCAUGCUGUGAAAUCAUGUAAGCCUUAUUGCUUAGAGGAAGGAGAANUCGUAACA
This 323-nucleotide ribosomal RNA is filed under the name uncultured eukaryote. RNAcentral's name for it is "partial 18S ribosomal RNA". It matches the Rfam family "Eukaryotic small subunit ribosomal RNA", at positions 1470 to 1796 of the family's 1831-position model. The record is from RNAcentral.